RNAcentral lists this transfer RNA (80 nucleotides) under Caldisericum exile AZM16c01. Its description in RNAcentral is "tRNA-Pro". It matches the Rfam family "tRNA". From Rfam's summary of the family: Transfer RNA (tRNA) molecules are approximately 80 nucleotides in length. Their secondary structure includes four short double-helical elements and three loops (D, anti-codon, and T loops). Further hydrogen bonds mediate the characteristic L-shaped molecular structure. tRNAs have two regions of fundamental functional importance: the anti-codon, which is responsible for specific mRNA codon recognition, and the 3' end, to which the tRNAs corresponding amino acid is attached (by aminoacyl-tRNA synthetases). tRNAs cope with the degeneracy of the genetic code in two manners: having more than one tRNA (with a specific anti-codon) for a particular amino acid; and 'wobble' base-pairing, i.e. permitting non-standard base-pairing at the 3rd anti-codon position. The record is from RNAcentral. Lineage: Bacteria; Pseudomonadati; Caldisericota; Caldisericia; Caldisericales; Caldisericaceae.
UCGGGGCGUGGCGCAGUUUGGUAAGCGCACCUGCAUGGGGUGCAGGGGGUCGGAAGUUCGAAUCUUCUCGCCCCGACCAC